CAGCCGCCGCGGUAAUACGGAGGGUGCGAGCGUUAAUCGGAAUUACUGGGCGUAAAGCGUACGCAGGCGGUUUGUUAAGUCAGAUGUGAAAUCCCCGAGCUUAACUCGGGAACUGCAUUUGAAACUGGCAGUGGAUACUGGCUCGCUAGAGUGUGUCAGAGGAUGGUGGAAUUCCCGGUGUAGCGGUGAAAUGCGUAGAGAUCGGGAGGAACAUCAGUGGCGAAGGCGGCCAUCUGGGACAACACUGACGCUGAGGCACGAAAGCGUGGGGAGCAAACAGGAUUAGAGACCCCAGUAGUCC
RNAcentral lists this ribosomal RNA (301 nucleotides) under uncultured bacterium. RNAcentral describes it as "partial 16S ribosomal RNA". It matches the Rfam family "Bacterial small subunit ribosomal RNA", at positions 509 to 796 of the family's 1533-position model. The record is from RNAcentral.